This 468-nucleotide ribosomal RNA is filed under the name uncultured bacterium. Its description in RNAcentral is "partial 16S ribosomal RNA". It matches the Rfam family "Bacterial small subunit ribosomal RNA", at positions 28 to 507 of the family's 1533-position model. The record is from RNAcentral.
GACGAACGCUGGCGGCGUGCUUAACACAUGCAAGUCGAACGGAAAGGCCCUGCUUUUGUGGGGUGCUCGAGUGGCGAACGGGUGAGUAACACGUGAGUAACCUGCCCUUGACUUUGGGAUAACUUCAGGAAACUGGGGCUAAUACCGGAUAGUAGCUCCUGCUGCAUGGUGGGGGUUGGAAAGUUUCGGCGGUUGGGGAUGGACUCGCGGCUUAUCAGCUUGUUGGUGGGGUAGUGGCUUACCAAGGCUUUGACGGGUAGCCGGCCUGAGAGGGUGACCGGCCACAUUGGGACUGAGAUACGGCCCAGACUCCUACGGGAGGCAGCAGGGGGGAAUAUUGCACAGUGGGCGGAAGCCUGAUGCAGCAACGCCGCGUGCGGGAUGACGGCCUUCGGGUUGUAAACCGCUUUCGCCUGUGACGAAGCGUGAGUGACGGUAAUGGGUAAAGAAGCACCGGCUAACUACGUG